AGAGUUUUGAUCCUGGCUCAGAUUGAACGCUGGCGGCAGGCCUAACACAUGCAAGUCGAACGGUAACAGGAAUCAGCUUGCUGAUUCGCUGACGAGUGGCGGACGGGUGAGUAAUGUCUGGGAAACUGCCUGAUGGAGGGGGAUAACUACUGGAAACGGUAGCUAAUACCGCAUAACGUCGCAAGACCAAAGAGGGGGACCUUCGGGCCUCUUGCCAUCGGAUGUGCCCAGAUGGGAUUAGCUAGUAGGUGGGGUAACGGCUCACCUAGGCGACGAUCCCUAGCUGGUCUGAGAGGAUGACCAGCCACACUGGAACUGAGACACGGUCCAGACUCCUACGGGAGGCAGCAGUGGGGAAUAUUGCACAAUGGGCGCAAGCCUGAUGCAGCCAUGCCGCGUGUAUGAAGAAGGCCUUCGGGUUGUAAAGUACUUUCAGCGGGGAGGAAGGGAGUAAAGUUAAUACCUUUGCUCAUUGACGUUACCCGCAGAAGAAGCACCGGCUAACUCCGUGCCAGCAGCCGCGGUAAUACGGAGGGUGCAAGCGUUAAUCGGAAUUACUGGGCGUAAAGCGCACGCAGGCGGUUUGUUAAGUCAGAUGUGAAAUCCCCGGGCUCAACCUGGGAACUGCAUCUGAUACUGGCAAGCUUGAGUCUCGUAGAGGGGGGUAGAAUUCCAGGUGUAGCGGUGAAAUGCGUAGAGAUCUGGAGGAAUACCGGUGGCGAAGGCGGCCCCCUGGACGAAGACUGACGCACAGGUUCGAAAGCCGUACCUUUUG
RNAcentral lists this ribosomal RNA (775 nucleotides) under Enterobacteriaceae bacterium. RNAcentral's name for it is "bacterial SSU rRNA". It matches the Rfam family "Bacterial small subunit ribosomal RNA", at positions 8 to 774 of the family's 1533-position model. Lineage: Bacteria; Pseudomonadati; Pseudomonadota; Gammaproteobacteria; Enterobacterales; Enterobacteriaceae. The record is from RNAcentral.